This 1807-nucleotide unclassified non-coding RNA is filed under the name Pocillopora damicornis (cauliflower coral). RNAcentral's name for it is "ubiquitin-like protein 7, transcript variant X1". Lineage: Eukaryota; Metazoa; Cnidaria; Anthozoa; Scleractinia; Pocilloporidae. The record is from RNAcentral.
GAGGUAAAUUUCAAUAGGUGACGACGUCUGCAGGCGAAAAAGUCAUUGACAUAUUUACAAGAACGCUAAGAAAUGCCGUGUGUUCGAAUCAAAGAAGCUUAUCACAAUACUAAGCAUAUCAUUGAUGACAUCGAGUUAAGUUGCAAAGUUGAGGAAUUGAAGGAAAAGGCAGCAGCGAAGACGAACAUACCGAUUGACCAGCAGAAUUUUAUAUUUGCUGGAGAACUGCUUAAGGACGAGAAAACUCUGGACUCUUAUGGAAUCAAAGAUGGAUUUACUAUUUAUGUGAUGAUAAAGAACCCUGAACCAGAACCCAUAGAACUUGAUUCAGAUGAUGUGCCAAUCACUGAAGUGAUCCCUGUCUUAGAGGCAGCCAUCAAGAGCCCUUCCUACAGAAAUACAGUUGAAAAAAUUCUUACCAAUCCAGACAUGCUUGAACAACUGACUGUAGCCACUCCAGGAUUAUCAUCUGAUCAUGUUGCUAUGACUCUUCUUCAAGAUCCUGAACUUCUUGAACAACUUGUACAGACAGCAAACGUUGAGACGGUAAUGCGAGAACAUCCAAGCCUGGUUCAGGCAGCUUCCUACAUUGCUGCAGCAAUUGCCAAGGAGGGAGGGGUAGGUAAACAUUCCACCAGGAGUCACAUGGCUGGUGACACAUAUGAUUCUGAUGAUGAACUGCGAGGCAUGGAUCCAGGGCUUGUUGCUCAAGCUGAACUGGUGGCAGCAAAUGAAGAGAGUAUCCAAGCAUUAAGAUCUGCUGCGGCCUCAAGAGGAGCAUCAUCAUCUCGGCAACCAGUCACAUCAUCAUUAUUAUCAUCGGCUUUAGCUAAUGCAGGAAUUUCUCCAGGUUCUUCAACACGCAGUGAAGCUGGGCCAUCCACAAGCAGAGGUGCUUCAACAUCAGCUUUCUCACCAGUCAUCCCAUCAACAAGUAGAGGUACAAGAGCGUCAAGUUCACGACCAACCAUAACAAGAGAUAUGGUCAGUGAAGCGGUGGCAUCUGUCAUGAACAUUUCUCAGCAAUCAUCUCAGCUUCAGUCACAGUUGCAGCAACUCAGAGAUAUGGGAAUCACAGAUGAUGCACUCAGUAUCCAGGCUCUCACUGCUACUGGUGGUAACGUCCAAGCUGCCCUUGACUUGAUAUUUGAAGGAUUAUAAACCCACAUGUCCCACUCCUGUGUCUGAGUUCCAUGUCUUUUGAAUUUCAGAAUUUACCAGGUUGAAUGUAUGAUGACACUGAAUACUAUUUAAAUUUUGUUUAAAAGAUUACAGAAAGAAGCUUAGGUAAGUCACCUAAGCUGCUAUGGUUGGGAAAAGUGUGAGUUGUUAAACACUUUUAUUUGUGACUGUUUUGGAAAUACGCAUAUUAUUUGUAGGCAUUAAUCCUCUCAGGUUAAUCAUUCCCCCAAAAAACUAAAAUAUGAAAAACUUACAGUAUUGAAGGUGAAGGAGAAAGAAAAUGUUCAAAGUAAGAAAGGACAAGUAAUUCAAACUGAAAAAAAACUACAGUCUCCAAAGGUACUUUUUUAUUAGAAAUAACACACAACAUUGCAGCAGCAAGCUGUCUUUUUUCCCAGCUGGUAUCCUUAGUUUAUAAGCUGAUAUUAUAUCCUUGUUAUUCAAUAUUUCAGGGUAAUUAAAUAACAUUUUUUAUUUUACUACCAUUGUGAAUAUCCAUUUAGAAUGCAAUUUCUUUUACUGUUUAAUUAUUUUUAUACAAUGCAAGGAAACUGUCUUUGUAACAGUUUUCUAGUGACGUAUGAUUUUAACUAAAUGCACAAAUAGAUCGAUGUUGUUGUUUGGA